Marmota monax (woodchuck) is the source of this 697-nucleotide long non-coding RNA. RefSeq lists it as uncharacterized. NCBI's taxonomy places the organism in Eukaryota, Metazoa, Chordata, Mammalia, Rodentia, Sciuridae. The transcript has 2 exons. The record is from RefSeq and is a predicted model, not a curated record.
CAAAGAUCAAGGUCUCAGAUUUUCCAUGACAUUGGUACGGGGCGGGGGCACCAUGCCUAUCUGGCACAGUCCCCAUCCCCAAUGCCCUCUGGGAAGCAGGAAACUGCCAUCUGGGCAUGGGCAGUGCCAGUUAGCAUGACACCUCCCUUGGGUCAGCCUGGGUAGGAGGCGUGCUCACUGCCAGGCCAGAGCCUCCUAUGCUCAGGGUCCCUUAAGGCCUAAUUCCUCCCAACUCUGAGAUCAGACAGCCUCAGAGGCCAAGUGCUGGGAGGCAAGGAGCUCACCCCGAAGACCCCAGACCCUCAGCACUCUGAAGAAGUCACGGUACUCACAAAGCAAUACCCUUGGGAGCCUAGAAAAUCAACAAUGCUGAAGGGAGGCACCAGCCUGGCCAUGAAGAUGGUCUCCUCCUUUCUAGGGCACUGGGAUUCCUGUCUCCACUGCUAUGGAUGGCCCAGGGUUUCCUGUGGAUUCUUAUUUGAGCAAGGGACCACUCCAGGACAUCAGCCAAUCCAAACUAUGACCCUGCUUCCACCAUUUACUUGGAGGCUGGCCUUGGACUAGUUAUUUUAACCUUUCUAAGCCUCAGUUCCCUCAUCUGUAAGAUGGGAAUAAUAAGGCCAUUGUAAAACUCAAAAGCUGAUAAUAUCUAAGGAACUCUAAAUGCUUCGGAAGAUAAACAAGGAAAUUACGAUUA